GUAUGUGGAUGGUGUUCAGCACCAAGGACAGGUCUGUUUGCUUGUGUAUGUGGAUGGUGUUCAGCACAAUGAUACGGUCUAUUUGCUG
Molecule: microRNA precursor, 88 nt
Filed under: Branchiostoma floridae (Florida lancelet)
Lineage: Eukaryota; Metazoa; Chordata; Leptocardii; Amphioxiformes; Branchiostomatidae
Description: mir-2060 microRNA precursor family
Rfam family: mir-2060 microRNA precursor family
Source: Rfam by way of RNAcentral